Molecule: non-coding RNA, 76 nt
Organism: Kluyvera ascorbata ATCC 33433
Lineage: Bacteria; Pseudomonadati; Pseudomonadota; Gammaproteobacteria; Enterobacterales; Enterobacteriaceae
Source: Rfam
GCAUCAGCAGCAUUAUGACCAUUACCACCACCACUAUUACCACAGGUAACGGUGCGGGCUGACGCGUACAGGAAAC